GCAGCGACUUAACUGAACCUUCGGGGAACGUUAAGGGCGGCGAGCGGCGGACGGGUGAGUAAUGCCUGGGAAUAUGCCCUGAUGUGGGGGAUAACUAUUGGAAACGAUAGCUAAUACCGCAUAAUCUCUUCGGAGCGAAGAGGGGGACCUUCGGGCCUUUCGCGUCAGGAUUAGCCCAGGUGGGAUUAGCUUGUUGGUGAGGUAAUAGCUCACCAAGGCAACGAUCCCUAGCUGGUCUGAGAGGAUGAUCAGCCACACUGGAACUGAGACACGGUCCAGACUCCUACGGGAGGCAGCAGUGGGGAAUAUUGCACAAUGGGGGAAACCCUGAUGCAGCCACGCCGCGUGUAUGAAGAAGGCCUUCGGGUUGUAAAGUACUUUCAGUAGGGAGGAAGGCAGUGUCGUUAAUAGCGGCAUUGUUUGACGUUCCUACAGAAAAGCACCGGCUAACUCCGUGCCAGCACGGAGGGUGCGAGCGUUAAUCGGAAUUACUGGGCGUAAAGCGCAUGCAGGCGGUCUGUUAAGCAAGAUGUGAAAGCCCGGGGCUCAACCUCGGAACAGCAUUUUGAACUGGCAGACUAGAGUCUUGUAGAGGGGGGUAGAAUUUCAGGUGUAGCGGUGAAAUGCGUAGAGAUCUGAAGGAAUACCGGUGGCGAAGGCGGCCCCCUGGACAAAGACUGACGCUCAGAUGCGAAAGCGUGGGGAGCAAACA
RNAcentral lists this ribosomal RNA (712 nucleotides) under uncultured Photobacterium sp. RNAcentral describes it as "bacterial SSU rRNA". It matches the Rfam family "Bacterial small subunit ribosomal RNA", at positions 66 to 774 of the family's 1533-position model. Lineage: Bacteria; Pseudomonadati; Pseudomonadota; Gammaproteobacteria; Vibrionales; Vibrionaceae. The record is from RNAcentral.